AUGCACGCUGGCGGCGUGCCUAAUCCAUGCUAGUCGAGCGAACAGACGAGGAGCUUGCUCCUCUGACGUUAGCGGCGGACGGGUGAGUAACACGUGGAUAACCUACCUAUAAGACUGGGAUAACUUCGGGAAACCGGAGCUAAUACCGGAUAAUAUAUUGAACCGCAUGGUUCAAUAGUGAAAGACGGUUUUGCUGUCACUUAUAGAUGGAUCCGCGCCGCAUUAGCUAGUUGGUAAGGUAACGGCUUACCAAGGCAACGAUGCGUAGCCGACCUGAGAGGGUGAUCGGCCACACUGGAACUGAGACACGGUCCAGACUCCUACGGGAGGCAGCAGUAGGGAAUCUUCCGCAAUGGGCGAAAGCCUGACGGAGCAACGCCGCGUGAGUGAUGAAGGUCUUCGGAUCGUAAAACUCUGUUAUUAGGGAAGAACAAAUGUGUAAGUAACUAUGCACGUCUUGACGGUACCUAAUCAGAAAGCCACGGCUAACUACGUG
This 496-nucleotide ribosomal RNA is filed under the name uncultured bacterium. Its description in RNAcentral is "partial 16S ribosomal RNA". It matches the Rfam family "Bacterial small subunit ribosomal RNA", at positions 29 to 507 of the family's 1533-position model. The record is from RNAcentral.